Molecule: non-coding RNA, 444 nt
Organism: Castor canadensis (American beaver)
Lineage: Eukaryota; Metazoa; Chordata; Mammalia; Rodentia; Castoridae
Source: RefSeq, a predicted model, not a curated record
GAGGCGAGAACGACCCCUGGAUCGACCAAAGCCGCGUGCAACUGCAUCCCCGCGUUCAGCGUCUACGUUUCUUCCUCCCGCCGCGGCCCCACCAUGCCCAAGAGAAAGGUUGAAGGCGAUGCUAAAGGAGAUAAAGCCAAGGUGAAGGACGAGCCACAGAGAAGAUCCGCCAGGUUGUCUGCUAAACCUGCUCCUCCAAAGCCAGAGCCCAAGCCUAAAAAGGCCCCUGCAAAGAAGGGAGAGAAGGAACCCAAAAGGAAAAGGGGAAAAGCUGAUACUGGAAAGGAUGGAAAUAACCCUGCAGAAAAUGGAGAUGCCAAAACAGACCAGGCACAGAAAGCUGAAGGUGCUGGAGAUGCCAAGUGAAGUGUGUGCAUUUUUUGACAACUGUACUUCUGGUGACUGUACAGUUUGAAAUACUAUUUUUUAUCAAGUUUUAUAAAA